UAGUGGCGGACGGGUGAGUAACGCGUGGGCAACCUGCCCUAUACAGGGGGAUAACAACCAGAAAUGGUUGCUAAUACCGCAUAAGCGCACAGGACCGCAUGGUCCGGUGUGAAAAACUCCGGUGGUAUAGGAUGGACCCGCGUUGGAUUAGCCAGUUGGCAGGGUAACGGCCUACCAAAGCGACGAUCCAUAGCCGGCCUGAGAGGGUGAACGGCCACAUUGGGACUGAGACACGGCCCAG
RNAcentral lists this ribosomal RNA (241 nucleotides) under uncultured bacterium. Its description in RNAcentral is "partial 16S ribosomal RNA". It matches the Rfam family "Bacterial small subunit ribosomal RNA", at positions 93 to 334 of the family's 1533-position model. The record is from RNAcentral.